Molecule: ribosomal RNA, 236 nt
Filed under: uncultured bacterium
Lineage: Bacteria
Description: partial 16S ribosomal RNA
Rfam family: Bacterial small subunit ribosomal RNA
Source: RNAcentral
CGGCACGGGUGAGUAACACGUAUCCAACCUGCCGUCUACUCUUGGACAGCCUUCUGAAAGGAAGAUUAAUACAAGAUGGCAUCAUGAGUCCGCAUGUUCACAUGAUUAAAGGUAUUCCGGUAGACGAUGGGGAUGCGUUCCAUUAGAUCGUAGGCGGGGUAACGGCCCACCUAGUCUUCGAUGGAUAGGGGUUCUGAGAGGAAGGUCCCCCACAUUGGAACUGAGACACGGUCCAA